UUUGUAGGAAUUACCCUACACGAGUACCAUGCACAAAGGAAUAUAGACCUGUCUGUGGCACUGACAACGUAACAUAUCCCAAAGUUUGUGUGCUGUGUAGGAAGAAUGCAUGUAGAAACAUUGGCAUUAGAAUGAGAGGACCUUGCCUUGGGGCCUAAACCUGUACCCCAUCUGCCAAAGAAGGAAAGAGUGGGUCUUCUGGAUGUCAUUGUUGAAGACAUGCAGUGUUUGAAAAUAUUCUGUUGAUUCAUCUCCAGAUUUUAUAGUCAAUAAAAACAAAAGCAUUG
This is a long non-coding RNA of Elgaria multicarinata webbii, 287 nucleotides long. RefSeq lists it as uncharacterized. The record is from RefSeq and is a predicted model, not a curated record. The transcript has 2 exons. Lineage: Eukaryota; Metazoa; Chordata; Lepidosauria; Squamata; Anguidae.